UCAGUUGACAAGGAAUAGCACAUCCCCCUUUCCGCGAGCCUGAGCCUUAGAUUCCUGAAACGCCCUCUCAUUGGCUUCAUGCACCGCAACUCUUUCACCAACACAAGUCUGCACAUUAGUCAAAAUCACAACCAAACCCUUCAAUCCCUUCUUCUUCUCUUCACCCCCUCUGUUGCACCGUCGCCCAAACGCCAUUACCUCCCUAAAAACCCUCCCAAAUUCAGAUUUCUUGACGCCCAAGGAACCAAGAACCUUCUCAACAACAACUCUCGAUUUCUCCUCUUCUUGAUCUUUAAAGAAAAGCCCUCCAUCUAGACAAAUAGUCUUUUCAUCCACAGCUUCUUGACACUCUCCGAUGACCGGUGAUGAAUCCGAUGAAGCCACGCCACGGGGUUCCAAGAAUUGUUGCUUAGCAUGAGUAGAGAAGGUAAUGUGGAGAGGAAGAGGAGAGCAAGUAGAAGUACAAGGAGGAUGAUGAUCAUAUGAAAAGGCUUUCCUUACACGAACUAGUAAGCUUGUUUUGUUAAGUUUGAGGAUGCUGUGAUGGGGAUAUCGUGCCAUUGUUUCGGACAGGAGUUCUUGGGAAAGGUUGAAUAUGAUGAUACUAGGGUUUAAGAAAUAUUGUAACGUACUGUAAUAUAAAGAAUUGUAUUAUGGGAGGACGGUGUGUACACACACACACGUAAGUAGACACCUUUUAGAGUAUCUCCAACGCUGUUGACUAUAAUUGUUGGUUAAAUUGGAUCCGUAAGAUAUUAUGUAAAAAUAAGUAGACACCUUUUAGAGCAUCUCCAACAUUGUUAGCUAUAAUCGUUGGCUAAAUUGGAUCCGUAAGAUAUUAUGUAAAAUUUGUUGAACCUGUAAGACAUUUCGCUUCAAUGGUAUUGGCUAUAUUGGUUGGCUAUAAUUUAAAAAUAGUAUGUUAUUAAUAUUUUAUAUUGUUAAAAUAGAAUAUAUCAGUUCAAUAUGUUAAUAAAUGAUGUGCAAUCUUCCUACAAAUUUGUUAUAGACCUGUAGAGGUUCGACAAAUUUAGCCAUCUCUAGGAGGUUGGCUAAAUUUAUAGACAACAGAUUUAGAAGCCUUUUUAUUGCUGCUUAAACAGCAAUAUAAAGCAAUUCUUCUAACAGGCACAAGCAUAAUAACUACCAAAAAAAUAAGGCAUCAAACAAGUAAAGUUGUCACAACUAGUAAAAUACAGAGCAGGACCAAAUUUUGAAUUGCAUAAAAGAUUUCAACCAUGAGAUUAAACUUUCAAUUGAAAAGUACUCCCUUUUUAUGAGCUUCAGACUUGGAUUUUUGGAACUAUAUCUGCACCCCUUCAUGAACCGGAACUCUUUCACCAAUACAAGACUGCGAAAAAUCAAAGUCACAACCAGAACUUCUAAAGUUUAAGCGGACCAAAAUUCAUAAAAAAGCACUCUCAAAUUAAAUAUUCUAACACGAAAUACACAUGCAAAUUAACUGUAUCUUGGAUAAGAUAUAAGUGGUUAUCAGCCGUCACAAUUCAAAACCCUAGCUAUAUAAGAACAACAAUCAGCAAAAGAAGGAACUUUUGAUUUUUUUUUGUUGUAAUCUAACAAUGCAGACCAGGAAUCAAAUUCAGCAAAACAGGACAUUGGAAUAAUCUUUUGUGAACCAAACUAAUCAUAAUAAAACUCAUACAAUGUCCCAAACACCUAAUUCUAAUCCAUACUGUAUAAACCAUUAUUCCUCUGCUUAAAAAACCUUGAACAGCAUACAUCUCAAUUCUUCUAGACAGACACAACUAUGACAAAUACAAGGGUAUUAGCAUCAGAAGAAUAAAGCUGUUCUCAACUAGUGACAUACAGAGCAGAUCCAAAAUUAAAAUUAGAUUCACAUUUGAAACACAAAUUGACAUUAAUUAAGUGGUAAUCAGCAACAAUAAUUAAGCAAUUAGCAAUCAGAAGAAGACUCAACACUAUGACUCAAUUGAACUGUCCCCGAAAUCUAUUCCUAAUCCUCUCCCACAGAAACCCUCUAAGUAAAGCACACAAACUUUGAACAACCUACAUCUCAAUUCUAUUUCACAGACACAAUUAGACCAAGUACAUUGAAUUUUAAGUCAUCAGAAAAGUAAUCUUUUCUCAACUAGUAAAAUCCAGUUCAAGAUUUCGAUUCACAUGCAAGAUCUUCACCCCCAGCCUCUCAGUUGACAAGGAAUAGCACAUCCCCCUUUCCGCGAGCCUGAGCCUUAGAUUCCUGAAACGCCCUCUCAUUGGCUUCAUGCACCGCAACUCUUUCACCAACACAAGUCUGCACAUUAGUCAAAAUCACAACCAAACCCUUCAAUCCCUUCUUCUUCUCUUCACCCCCUCUGUUGCACCGUCGCCCAAACGCCAUUACCUCCCUAAAAACCCUCCCAAAUUCAGAUUUCUUGACGCCCAAGGAACCAAGAACCUUCUCAACAACAACUCUCGAUUUCUCCUCUUCUUGAUCUUUAAAGAAAAGCCCUCCAUCUAGACAAAUAGUCUUUUCAUCCACAGCUUCUUGACACUCUCCGAUGACCGGUGAUGAAUCCGAUGAAGCCACGCCACGGGGUUCCAAGAAUUGUUGCUUAGCAUGAGUAGAGAAGGUAAUGUGGAGAGGAAGAGGAGAGCAAGUAGAAGUACAAGGAGGAUGAUGAUCAUAUGAAAAGGCUUUCCUUACACGAACUAGUAAGCUUGUUUUGUUAAGUUUGAGGAUGCUGUGAUGGGGAUAUCGUGCCAUUGUUUCGGACAGGAGUUCUUGGGAAAGGUUGAAUAUGAUGAUACUAGGGUUUAAGAAAUAUUGUAACGUACUGUAAUAUAAAGAAUUGUAUUAUGGGAGGACGGUGUGUACACACACACACGUAAGUAGACACCUUUUAGAGUAUCUCCAACGCUGUUGACUAUAAUUGUUGGUUAAAUUGGAUCCGUAAGAUAUUAUGUAAAAAUAAGUAGACACCUUUUAGAGCAUCUCCAACAUUGUUAGCUAUAAUCGUUGGCUAAAUUGGAU
Molecule: long non-coding RNA, 2995 nt
Filed under: Daucus carota (carrot)
Lineage: Eukaryota; Viridiplantae; Streptophyta; Magnoliopsida; Apiales; Apiaceae
Description: long non-coding RNA (DCAR_LNC006120)
Source: RNAcentral